UACGAAGGGGGCUAGCGUUGUUCGGAAUUACUGGGCGUAAAGCGCACGUAGGCGGAAUGUUAAGUCAGGGGUGAAAUCCCGGGGCUCAACCCCGGAACUGCCUUUGAUACUGGCAUUCUCGAGUCCGGAAGAGGUGAGUGGAAUUCCGAGUGUAGAGGUGAAAUUCGUAGAUAUUCGGAGGAACACCGGUGGCGAAGGCGGCUCACUGGUCCGGUACUGACGCUGAGGUGCGAAAGCGUGGGGAGCAAACAGG
This 253-nucleotide ribosomal RNA is filed under the name uncultured bacterium. Its description in RNAcentral is "partial 16S ribosomal RNA". It matches the Rfam family "Bacterial small subunit ribosomal RNA", at positions 524 to 776 of the family's 1533-position model. The record is from RNAcentral.